GCCCCGAUGGUGAAAUUGGUAGACGCACCGGCCUUAAAAGCCGUCGACCGUAAGGUUAUGCCGGUUCGAGCCCGGCUCGGGGUACCA
RNAcentral lists this transfer RNA (87 nucleotides) under Pseudomonas amygdali pv. lachrymans str. M301315. Its description in RNAcentral is "tRNA-Leu". It matches the Rfam family "tRNA". Rfam says of the family: Transfer RNA (tRNA) molecules are approximately 80 nucleotides in length. Their secondary structure includes four short double-helical elements and three loops (D, anti-codon, and T loops). Further hydrogen bonds mediate the characteristic L-shaped molecular structure. tRNAs have two regions of fundamental functional importance: the anti-codon, which is responsible for specific mRNA codon recognition, and the 3' end, to which the tRNAs corresponding amino acid is attached (by aminoacyl-tRNA synthetases). tRNAs cope with the degeneracy of the genetic code in two manners: having more than one tRNA (with a specific anti-codon) for a particular amino acid; and 'wobble' base-pairing, i.e. permitting non-standard base-pairing at the 3rd anti-codon position. Lineage: Bacteria; Pseudomonadati; Pseudomonadota; Gammaproteobacteria; Pseudomonadales; Pseudomonadaceae. The record is from RNAcentral.